UGCUGUUAACUUGGUGGCUAUCUUCAGC
Molecule: non-coding RNA, 28 nt
Filed under: Rattus norvegicus (Norway rat)
Lineage: Eukaryota; Metazoa; Chordata; Mammalia; Rodentia; Muridae
Source: RNAcentral